RNAcentral lists this ribosomal RNA (460 nucleotides) under Planctomycetota bacterium. RNAcentral describes it as "partial 23S ribosomal RNA". It matches the Rfam family "Bacterial large subunit ribosomal RNA", at positions 2461 to 2925 of the family's 2925-position model. The record is from RNAcentral. Lineage: Bacteria; Pseudomonadati; Planctomycetota.
AGGUACUCCGGGGAUAACAGGCUUAUCUCCCCUGAGCGUUCAUAGCGGCGGGGAGGUUUGGCACCUCGAUGUCGGCUCAUCGCAUCCUGGGGGUGGAGAAGCUCCCAAGGGUUUGGCUGUUCGCCAAUGAAAGCGGUACGUGAGCUGGGUUCAGACCGUCGUGAGACAGGUCGGUCCCUAUCUGUCGUGGGCGUAGGAGAUUUGCGCAGUUUUCUCCCUAGUACGAGAGGAUUGGGAGGGACGCACCUCUGGUGUCCCUGUUGUCACGCCAGUGGCAUGGCAGGUUAGCUAAGUGCGGCCAGGAUAAACGCUGAAAGCAUCUAAGCGUGAAACCUUCUGCAAGAAUAGAUCUCCAGUCGUAAGACAGAGGCUCCUGGUAGACCACCAGGUCGAUAGGCCGGGCGUGUAAGGCGAGUAAUCGUCUAAGCUUACCGGUACUAACAGCCUAAUGCUUGUACGC